Molecule: long non-coding RNA, 377 nt
Filed under: Meriones unguiculatus (Mongolian gerbil)
Lineage: Eukaryota; Metazoa; Chordata; Mammalia; Rodentia; Muridae
Description: lncRNA (ENSMUGG00000013973.1)
Source: RNAcentral
UGUGGCUCGGGGGCGGGCCCCUCCGGGGCGGGCCGCUCAGGGUUAAAGGGGCGUCCGCGGGCCGCCGCCGCUCCGCCGCGGGGAGACAAAGCGUCCGCUCGCCGCCGCCCCCCCAGCGGUUCCAGGCCAUGGGCGGUGCGGACCGUCGCGCCAGCCCCGCAGCCAGGCUCCUGAGUACCUGUUCCAUACCAGACACUCAGAUUCAGGCAGAAAACCCCUCCCCUCCUGGAGCAGGCGCGAAUGACCCAGGCUGUUUACAUACCUCUCGUGAAAGGCAUGACUGCCGUCUGCAGAGCGAGGCUGUGACAGGGGACCCACGGGUUGCAGGGCCUCCUCCGAGGGGCCACACUGGUGACGUGCGUGCUGCCUCCCGGGGA